This 19-nucleotide small nuclear RNA is filed under the name Arabidopsis thaliana (thale cress). RNAcentral's name for it is "snRNA_15604". The record is from RNAcentral. Lineage: Eukaryota; Viridiplantae; Streptophyta; Magnoliopsida; Brassicales; Brassicaceae.
UGCACCGGAUCCCAUCAGA